Molecule: long non-coding RNA, 1534 nt
Filed under: Homo sapiens (human)
Lineage: Eukaryota; Metazoa; Chordata; Mammalia; Primates; Hominidae
Description: HSALNT0297816
Source: RNAcentral
GCCUGAGGUUGCUGCUUAGUUCUGAGAAAGCCUCAGCGAGGCCGAUGGAGAGCCCUUGAGCUGAGGUUGCCCAUUAGACAAAUUCUGCAUCAGAUGAGGGAAGGAAUCAUAAUUGGCUAACAAGAGGAGAUACAUUUGACUAUGUUAAGAGAACUGGAGGUGCUGAUCAGAAACCCACAAAUAUCUGCCAGGCUGGCAACAGACCCUAAAGAGAGAGAUUAACAAAAAACAGUUGAGGAGCAAGCUAAAUUCCUACAGGCAAUAGUGGGACCAGAGCUCAUAGGCUGGCACCAAUAGUACAGUUUGGUCCCAAGGAGAAGCAGCAAGGCCAUGCAGGGAAUCACAUAAACAGGUCAGAUUUGUUUGAAGCAGUUUGACAGAGGAACAGACUAUAAAUUGUGGAAACCUGCCCACCUUUGUUUAUUCUUUGGCUGUGGAGGAACCAAGGAUAAAUAACUUGUAUACAAGCUCCUGGGAAUAAAGAAAAUUCUAACUAGCCUGAGACAUGGUCCUGACUUCUGCCAACAGAAACCUCCAGCAAUUGCUGGCUUAGGUAAAAAACAAAAACAAACAAACAAAAAACAAAACAAUACAAAAACCUCCUUUAAAGAUGAGUGUCCCAAAAGGAACUGAUAGAGGAUCUAAAAAUUAUGAUAAAGUAUUUUGCCCAAAUAAUAAUAAUAAAAAACUUAAAGCAAUCAUCUUGGUGAAAGAACACAAAAAAAUAGAACUCAAGGCGACAGGAGGAUCUGAGACAUGAUCUAUAGAACACAACAAAAAACUAAAUGGCAGAGAAAAUCCAUCACAGCAAAGAAGUUGAAACUGAAAGGAAGGCAAAUACGUUCAAAAGCUGAUUUUAAAAUAAAAUAAAAUAUUUAAACAGUUUUAAAAGGAAGCACAAAUGCACAAAGUAAGAAAUGAUUGAUAAGAAGUAGCACCAAAGGCAUAGAGGAAAUUUAAAUAAAUUACCUAGCUCAGUUUUAUACAAACUUGGAAACAUAAAUGAAAUGGAAAGUAUACUAGACAAUAUACUAGAAAUAUUAAACAGACCAGUUCCUAUAAAUGAAAUAAGAAAGCUAUUAAUAUCUUCCCUCUCCCACACACCAAAGGCAUAAAAUCCAGUUUCAGAAAUUCUACUACACCUUUACAGAACAGAAUUAAACUCAUUUAAACUCUUCCAGAGCGUGGGCGGAGUGGUGACGGUGGAAGGAAAGAAAACUACCAAACUCUUGGGAUAAUCUUUAUAUGAAACUGUACAUCAAAACCUGAUAAAGAUUGCACAGAAACAUAAAACUACAGAUGAAUUCCAUGUACUAAUAUGAUGCAAAAGUCCUAAAUAAAUUAAAACUAUAAACCAUUCUGACAAAGUGGGGUUUAUUCUAGGAAUAAAAAGAUGAUCCUUAGGAAACAUACUACCAUAUUUCACUAUAUUUAAGGAGGAAAGAAGACUAUCAGGUUUCUCCAUAGGUACUGAAGAAAGGCACUUUACAUUUUAGAAUUGCUUUUUUAAAAAAGGAAAAAAGAGAAGAGUCCA